GCAAGUCGAACGAAACUCUUUGGAGUUGAGUGGCGGACGGGUGAGUAACGCGUGAGAAUCUGCCUUUAGGAUGGGGAUAACAUUGGGAAACCAAUUUAAGACCCGAUGUGCCCUACGGGGUGAAAAGUGAAAACUGCCUGAAGAGGAGCUCGCGUCUGAUUAGCUAGAUGGAGAGGUAAAAGCUCACCAUGGCGACGAUCAGUAACUGGUCUGAGAGGAUGAGC
RNAcentral lists this ribosomal RNA (224 nucleotides) under uncultured bacterium. RNAcentral's name for it is "partial 16S ribosomal RNA". It matches the Rfam family "Bacterial small subunit ribosomal RNA", at positions 57 to 305 of the family's 1533-position model. The record is from RNAcentral.